AACCCUUCAAGCUCAGCUUGGUGUUGGGUGCUUGUCCCGCCCCGCGCGGCGACUCACCUCAAAGUCAUUGGCAGCCCGCACCCGCCGGCCACGAGCGCAGCACAGUCGCGCCCGAGGCCACGCAGGGUCGGCUCUCCAGAAGCAACCCCCAA
This 152-nucleotide unclassified non-coding RNA is filed under the name uncultured Roussoella. RNAcentral describes it as "sequence contains ITS2". The record is from RNAcentral. Lineage: Eukaryota; Fungi; Ascomycota; Dothideomycetes; Pleosporales; Thyridariaceae.